RNAcentral lists this ribosomal RNA (1647 nucleotides) under Acinetobacter baumannii 45002_7. RNAcentral's name for it is "bacterial LSU rRNA". It matches the Rfam family "Bacterial large subunit ribosomal RNA", at positions 1298 to 2925 of the family's 2925-position model. Lineage: Bacteria; Pseudomonadati; Pseudomonadota; Gammaproteobacteria; Moraxellales; Moraxellaceae. The record is from RNAcentral.
UGACGUGAGUAACGACAAAACGGGUGAAAAACCCGUUCGCCGAAAGACCAAGGGUUCCAGUCCAACGUUAAUCGGGGCUGGGUGAGUCGACCCCUAAGGCGAGGCCGAAAGGCGUAGUCGAUGGGAAAAUGGUUAAUAUUCCAUUACUUCUGUGUAAUGCGAUGAGAGGACGGAGAAGGCUAAAUCAGCCUGGCGUUGGUUGUCCAGGUGAAAGGAUGUAGGCAUGUAUCUUAGGCAAAUCCGGGGUACUCUAUGCUGAGAUCUGAUAGCAAGCUGUACUUGUACAGCGAAGUGGUUGAUGCCAUGCUUCCAGGAAAAGUCUCUAAGCUUCAGUUACACAGGAAUCGUACCCGAAACCGACACAGGUGGUCAGGUCGAGUAGACCAAGGCGCUUGAGAGAACUCUGCUGAAGGAACUAGGCAAAAUGGUACCGUAACUUCGGGAGAAGGUACGCUGUUGUUGGUGAUGGAACUCGCUUCCUGAGCUGACGACAGCCGCAGAAACCAGGCCGCUGCAACUGUUUAUUAAAAACAUAGCACUCUGCAAACACGAAAGUGGACGUAUAGGGUGUGAUGCCUGCCCGGUGCUGGAAGGUUAAUUGAUGGGGUUAGCGUAAGCGAAGCUCUUGAUCGAAGCCCCAGUAAACGGCGGCCGUAACUAUAACGGUCCUAAGGUAGCGAAAUUCCUUGUCGGGUAAGUUCCGACCUGCACGAAUGGCAUAAUGAUGGCGGCGCUGUCUCCAGCAGAGGCUCAGUGAAAUCGAAAUCGCUGUGAAGAUGCAGUGUACCCGCGGCUAGACGGAAAGACCCCGUGAACCUUUACUGCAGCUUGACACUGAACUUUGACCUUACUUGUGUAGGAUAGGUGGGAGGCUUUGAAGCUGGAACGCUAGUUCCAGUGGAGCCGUCCUUGAAAUACCACCCUGGUAAUGUUGAGGUUCUAACUCUGUCCCGUGAUCCGGGACGAGGACCGUGUCUGGUGGGUAGUUUGACUGGGGCGGUCUCCUCCUAAAGAGUAACGGAGGAGUACGAAGGUGCGCUCAGCGUGGUCGGAAAUCACGCGUAGAGUAUAAAGGCAAAAGCGCGCUUAACUGCGAGACCCACAAGUCGAGCAGGUACGAAAGUAGGUCUUAGUGAUCCGGUGGUUCUGUAUGGAAGGGCCAUCGCUCAACGGAUAAAAGGUACUCUGGGGAUAACAGGCUGAUACCGCCCAAGAGUUCAUAUCGACGGCGGUGUUUGGCACCUCGAUGUCGGCUCAUCUCAUCCUGGGGCUGAAGCAGGUCCCAAGGGUAUGGCUGUUCGCCAUUUAAAGAGGUACGCGAGCUGGGUUUAGAACGUCGUGAGACAGUUCGGUCCCUAUCUACCGUGGGCGCUGGAAAUUUGAGAGGAUCUGCUCCUAGUACGAGAGGACCAGAGUGGACGAACCUCUGGUGUACCGGUUGUGACGCCAGUCGCAUCGCCGGGUAGCUAUGUUCGGAAGGGAUAACCGCUGAAAGCAUCUAAGCGGGAAGCCUACCUCAAGAUAAGAUUUCCCUAGGACUUUAUGUCCUCUAAAGAGCCGUUCGAGACUAGGACGUUGAUAGGUUGGAUGUGGAAGCAUAGUGAUAUGUGAAGCUGACCAAUACUAAUUGCUCGUGAGGCUUGACUA